GAGUUUGAUCCUGGCUCAGAACGAACGCUGGCGGCGUGCUUAACACAUGCAAGUCGAACGUGAUCCGGAGCUUGCUCUGGUGAAAGUGGCGCACGGGUGAGUAACGCGUGGAUAACCUGCCCUGGUAUCUGGGAUAACAUCUCGAAAGGGGUGCUAAUACCGGAUAAGCCUACGGGAUCUUCGGAUUCUGCAGGAAAAGGAGGCCUCUAUUUAUAAGCUUCCGUAUCAUGAUGGGUCCGCGUACCAUUAGCUAGUUGGUGGGGUAAUGGCCUACCAAGGCGACGAUGGGUAGCGGGUCUGAGAGGAUGAUCCGCCACACUGGAACUGAAACACGGACCAGACUCCUACGGGAGGCAGCAGUGAGGAAUAUUGGACAAUGGGCGCAAGCCUGAUCCAGCGACGCCGCGUGAGUGAUGAAGGCCUUUGGGUCGUAAAGCUCUGUCAGCAGGGAAGAACGGCCGUGCGGUUAAUACCCGUGCGGAUUGACGGUACCUGCAGAGGAAGCACCGGCUAACUCCGUGCCAGCAGCCGCGGUAAUAC
RNAcentral lists this ribosomal RNA (540 nucleotides) under uncultured Geobacteraceae bacterium. Its description in RNAcentral is "bacterial SSU rRNA". It matches the Rfam family "Bacterial small subunit ribosomal RNA", at positions 9 to 526 of the family's 1533-position model. The record is from RNAcentral. Lineage: Bacteria; Pseudomonadati; Thermodesulfobacteriota; Desulfuromonadia; Geobacterales; Geobacteraceae.